UGCUUGACUCAAAGAUUAAGCCAUGCACGUCUAAGUAUAAGCGAUUAUACUGCGAAACUGCGGAUGGCUCAUUAUAUCAGUACCAAUCCAUCUGACGAGAAUUCCUACUUGGAUAACUGUAGUAAUUCUAGAGCUAAUACAUGCAAAGAGUGUGGACCGGGGGCGACCCCGGGAAGCAUGUGUUUAUUAGAUUCAGAACCGACGUGGGGCAUCUCAAACUCGCCGCAAGGCGGGGCUCCACCUCUCAGUGGUGAUUCAUGGUAACUUUACACGAAUCGGGGGCUUCGGUCUUCGAUGGUGCAAACGAAGUUCUGCCCUAUCAACUUUCGAAGGUAACGUAGGGGGUUACCUUGGUCGUAACGGGUAACGGGGAAUCAGGGUUCGAUUCCGGAGAGGGAGCCUGAGAGACGGCUACCACUUCCAAGGAAGGCAGCAGGCGCGCAAAUUACCCAAUCCCGACACGGGGAGGUAGUGACAAGAAAUAUCGAUGUAGGACCCUUUCGGGUACUACGAUCGAAAUGAGAACAAUUUAAAAGCCUUAACGAGUAACGAUUGGAGGGCAAGUCUGGUGCCAGCAGCCGCGGUAAUUCCAGCUCCAAUAGUGUAUAUUAAAGUUGUUGCGGUUAAAAAGCUCGUAGUUGGACCUUGGGCUGGGAGGGCGACCCUCCGUCUCCCUGGUCGAGCGGCGACGCGGUGCGAGCCCGUCGUCAUCGGCCGUUCGGGGGGGCGGAUCGAAGGGGCGCCCUCUCUAACCGUUCGAGAUAGUUCGUCACAUUGUGGUCUCCCGGUUGGGUUCGCCCGGUCGGGCGAUCGUGUCGUUCACUUUACUUUGAAGAAAUUUGAGUGUUUAAAGCAGGCAACAUUCGUAUCCGAAGACGUUAGCAUGGGAUAAUGAAAGACGACUCGUCCUCAUCUUCGUUGGUUCUUGAGGAGCGAGUAAUGAUCGAUAGGGACGGUCGGGGUCGGUGGUACUGAGCGGCUAGAGGUGAAAUUCUAUGACCCGCUCAAGACCGACGAGAGCGAAAGCAUUCGACAAGGAUGUUUUCAUUGAUCAAGAACGAAAGUUGAGGGAUCGAAGAUGAUCAGAUACCGUCGUAGUCUCAACCGUAAACGAUGUCGACUCGGGAUCGGAGGGCGUUACAUGGAUGACCCCUCCGGCACCGUGUGAGAAAUCAUAAGUAACCAGACUCCGGGGGGAGUAUGGUCGCAAGGCUGAAACUUAAAGGAAUUGACGGAAGGGCACCACCAGGAGUGGAGUCUGCGGCUUAAUUUGACUCAACACGGGGAAACUUACCAAGUCCGAACACGACGAGGAUUGACAGAUCAAUAGCUCUUUCUUGAUUUUGUGAAGAGUGGUGCAUGGCCGUUUUUAGUUGGUGGAGUGAUCUGUCUGGUUAAUUCCGUUAACGAACGAGACCUUAACCUGCUAAAUAGGGGCACGAACGCGGGGGUUCGGGGAGGGACCCGCAAGGGUUUCCGACUCGGCCCUCACAAUCUUGUUUCGCGAACCCUUCUUAGAGGGACCAUUCAUCCACCAAGUGAACGGAAGUUUAAGGCAAAAACAGGUCUGUGAUGCCCUCAGAUGUUUUGGGCUGCACGCGCAUUACACUGUUACGUGCAACGAGUCAGAAACGACCCGAACCCUGAUGGGUGGGGUAAGCUUUUAGAGCGUAACGUGAUGGGGAUUGUGUUUUGCAAUUAUCACACAUGAACGAGGAAUUCCUAGUAAGCGUAAGUCAUCAACUUGCGCUGAUUACGUCCCUGCCCUUUGUACACACCGCCCGUCGCUCCUACCGAUUGAACGGCCCGAUGAGAACUCGGGAUGGAAGCGUUCCGACCCGUCCGCGAGGGUGUGUCGGUCCACGGCCAGAACCCGUUCAAAUCUUGUCGUUUAGAGGAAGGAGAAGUCGUAACAAGGUUUCCGUAGGUGAACCUGCAGAAGGAUCA
RNAcentral lists this ribosomal RNA (1947 nucleotides) under Amoeba leningradensis. Its description in RNAcentral is "SSU rRNA". It matches the Rfam family "Eukaryotic small subunit ribosomal RNA". Lineage: Eukaryota; Tubulinea; Elardia; Euamoebida; Amoebidae. The record is from RNAcentral.